CAGUCGAACGGCAGCACGGGGGCAACCCUGGUGGCGAGUGGCGAACGGGUGAGUAACGCAUCGGAAUGUACCCAGUAGUGGGGGAUAACUAGUCGAAAGACUGGCUAAUACCGCAUACGCACUACGGUGGAAAGCGGGGGAUCGCAAGACCUCGCGCUAUUGGAGCAGCCGAUGUCCGAUUAGGUAGUUGGUGGGGUAAAAGCCUACCAAGCCUGCGAUCGGUAACUGGUCUGAGAGGACGACCAGUCACACUGGGACUGAGACACGGCCCAGACUCCUACGGGAGGCAGCAGUGGGGAAUUUUGGACAAUGGGCGAAAGCCUGAUCCAGCAAUGCCGCGUGUGUGAAGAAGGCCUUCGGGUUGUAAAGCACUUUUGGCGGGAACGAAACUGCGCUUGCUAAUACCAGGCGCGACUGACGGUACCCGCAGAAUAAGCACCGGCUAACUACGUGCCAGCAGCCGCGGUAAGACGUAGGGUGCAAGCGUUAAUCGGAAUUACUGGGCGUAAAGCGUGCGCAGGCGGCUUUGUAAGACGGAUGUGAAAUCCCCGGGCUCAACCUGGGAACUGCAUUCGUGACUGCAAGGCUAGAGUGUGUCAGAGGGAGGUGGAUUCCGCGUGUAGCAGUGAAUGCGUAGAGAUGCGAGACACCGAUGGCGAAGCAGCCUCCUGGGAUACACUGACGCUCAUGC
RNAcentral lists this ribosomal RNA (691 nucleotides) under uncultured bacterium. RNAcentral describes it as "bacterial SSU rRNA". It matches the Rfam family "Bacterial small subunit ribosomal RNA", at positions 59 to 752 of the family's 1533-position model. The record is from RNAcentral.